RNAcentral lists this transfer RNA (83 nucleotides) under Clostridioides difficile. RNAcentral's name for it is "tRNA-Leu(tag)". The record is from RNAcentral. Lineage: Bacteria; Bacillati; Bacillota; Clostridia; Peptostreptococcales; Peptostreptococcaceae.
GUGGGUUCGAGCCCNUGGCAGACGCACUAGACUUAGGAUCUAGCGCCAUUGGCGUGGGGGUUCGACUCCCUUCAUCCGCACCA